This is a non-coding RNA of Saimiri boliviensis boliviensis (Bolivian squirrel monkey), 462 nucleotides long. NCBI's taxonomy places the organism in Eukaryota, Metazoa, Chordata, Mammalia, Primates, Cebidae. The record is from RefSeq and is a predicted model, not a curated record.
GACACAGCAUUUCGUUGUUUUAGGUGUUCCUUAAUUUAACUCACCACCGCUGCAACCAUCAUCACUCACUGAUUCACCAAAGAUUGGGUGGAAUUCUUAUUGAACCUCAAAAAUCAGUAGGCCAGGCUCACACUGCCAGGGAAACAGAGAACCAGAGACUUCAGUUUUCAUUCUGGAGACAUCUCCACCUGAAAAAAUCUGAAGAGUUUCAUGUACAGGACUGAAGAGACAGACAUCUACAAAUAAAGACAUGAGUUCAUUAAAGGUGGCCUAAGAAAUAUGAAGAAGUGGAAUUCUACCUUGAAAAUAAGAGGAUUUUACCCUGAUCCAUAGAAAAAAAAGGGAGUGUUUCAAAUGAACCUACUCUUUGUUUAAGAAGAUUGUAAUUAGCUAUGAGCUAAAGCACCAGCAGAUAAAUGAUCCUGGAAAAGUGUGCUAAAAGUCAACGGAAUUCAAUCCUCU